This 500-nucleotide ribosomal RNA is filed under the name uncultured bacterium. RNAcentral describes it as "partial 16S ribosomal RNA". It matches the Rfam family "Bacterial small subunit ribosomal RNA", at positions 30 to 523 of the family's 1533-position model. The record is from RNAcentral.
AUUGAACGCUGGCGGCAUGCUUUACACAUGCAGGUCGAACGGUAACAGGGUGCUUGCACCGCUGACGAGUGGCGAACGGGUGAGUAAUGCGUCGGAACGUGCCGAGUAGUGGGGGAUAACGCAGCGAAAGUUGUGCUAAUACCGCAUACGUACUGAGGUAGAAAGUGGGGGACCUUCGGGCCUCACGCUAUCCGAGCGGCCGACGUCUGAUUAGCUAGUAGGUGAGGUAAAGGCUCACCUAGGCGACGAUCAGUAGCGGGUCUGAGAGGAUGAUCCGCCACACUGGGACUGAGACACGGCCCAGACUCCUACGGGAGGCAGCAGUGGGGAAUUUUGGACAAUGGGCGAAAGCCUGAUCCAGCCAUGCCGCGUGUCUGAAGAAGGCCUUCGGGUUGUAAAGGACUUUUGUCGGGGAGGAAAUCCCCAGCGUUAAUACCGCUGGGGGAUGACAGUACCUGAAGAAUAAGCACCGGCUAACUACGUGCCAGCCGCCGCAGUAA